ACUCCACGUUUCUCUACAAACCCUAACCCUAACCUUCGUUUCAUCCACCGCUCCUCCACCGCUCCUCCACGACUCCUCCAUCGUUGACGACAUCAGAUCCGACACCAGAUCCGACACAACAUCGAUUUCUAUGGCUUCUUUCCCGGUGGCUUCAAGAUCCAACACUAUCUCAAGAGAUCCGACACUAUUUCAGUAGAUCCGACACCAGAUCUACUGGUUUGACUGUAGGAUCUUCCUUUUGGUUGUGGGUUCGUCAACGAUGGUGCUUGUGGGUGGAAGAUCUGGCAAGAUCUAUGGGUUAUUUGUAGUAGAUCUGUUCUUUGUUUAUGCCAGUAAAAACAGGCAAGAGUUGACCGGUCGAGCCACUUACAUACUCAAUAAAAAGGCACUUGUGCUAAGAUUCAUCUUUGAGGCGAAUGGAGGACGAUUCAAAAGAAAAAAAAACAAAGAAACGUACCAGAGCGUACCACAAUUUAGGUAGCGUUGGAUUCUACGUCUCUACUAAAACCACUUUUUUGGCGAAACAAUUAGGUAAAUAUAAGGAUGCAUUUGCAGAAUAUACAGCAAGAACUGCAUUUGAGAGACCGUUAUUAAGCGGGGUAGCGUAUGCACCGAGGAUACUGACUUCCGAACGAGAAGACUUCGAAAGUCAACACGGUGGGACUAUAAGAACAAUGGCCAACAAGGAGCCGUCCCCUCACCGCGAUGAAUAAGCACCAAUGAUAUUCUCUCAAGAAACCGUUUCUUACCUCAAUUUGCUAGAUACGAUGUCAG
Long non-coding RNA from Helianthus annuus (common sunflower), 774 nucleotides. RefSeq lists it as uncharacterized. The record is from RefSeq and is a predicted model, not a curated record. The transcript has 6 exons. Lineage: Eukaryota; Viridiplantae; Streptophyta; Magnoliopsida; Asterales; Asteraceae.